UGCCAGCAGCCGCGGUAAUACGGAGGGAGCGAGCGUUAAUCGGAAUUACUGGGCGUAAAGCGCGCGUAGGCGGCUUUGUAAGUCGGAUGUGAAAGCCCUGGGCUCAACCUGGGAAUGGCAUUCGAUACUGCAGAGCUAGAGUAUGGUAGAGGGAAGUGGAAUUUCCGGUGUAGCGGUGAAAUGCGUAGAUAUCGGAAGGAACACCGGUGGCGAAGGCGGCUCACUGGCUCGAUACUGACGCGAGGUGCGAAAGCGUGGGGAGAAAACAGGAUUAGAUA
Molecule: ribosomal RNA, 278 nt
Filed under: uncultured bacterium
Lineage: Bacteria
Description: partial 16S ribosomal RNA
Rfam family: Bacterial small subunit ribosomal RNA
Source: RNAcentral